This 371-nucleotide ribosomal RNA is filed under the name uncultured bacterium. RNAcentral describes it as "bacterial SSU rRNA". It matches the Rfam family "Bacterial small subunit ribosomal RNA", at positions 527 to 896 of the family's 1533-position model. The record is from RNAcentral.
GUAGGGUCCGAGCGUUGUCCGGAGUUACUGGGCGUAAAGGGCGCGUAGGCGGCUCUGUGCGUCACCCGUGAAAGCCCCCGGCUCAACCGGGGAGGGUCGGGUGAAACGGCGGAGCUGGAGGCAGCGAGAGGCUGGUGGAAUUCCCGGAGUAGUGGUGAAAUGCGUAGAGAUCGGGAGGAACACCGGUGGCGAAGGCGGCCAGCUGGCGCUGACCUGACGCUGAGGCGCGAAGGCGUGGGGAGCGAACGGGAUUAGAUACCCCGGUAGUCCACGCAGUAAACGAUGUGGACUAGGUGUGGGGGGAGUUGACCCCCUCCGUGCCGGCGCGAACGCAGUAAGUCCACCGCCUGGGGAGUACGGCCGCAAGGCUA